This 1252-nucleotide ribosomal RNA is filed under the name metagenome. RNAcentral describes it as "bacterial SSU rRNA". It matches the Rfam family "Bacterial small subunit ribosomal RNA", at positions 242 to 1522 of the family's 1533-position model. The record is from RNAcentral.
UAGCUAGUUGGUGAGGUAACGGCCCACCAAGGCGACGAUCGGUAGCCGGACUGAGAGGUUGAACGGCCACAUUGGGACUGAGACACGGCCCAGACUCCUACGGGAGGCAGCAGUGGGGAAUAUUGCACAAUGGGGGAAACCCUGAUGCAGCGACGCCGCGUGGAGGAAGAAGGUCUUCGGAUUGUAAACUCCUGUUGUUGGGGAAGAUAAUGACGGUACCCAACAAGGAAGUGACGGCUAACUACGUGCCAGCAGCCGCGGUAAAACGUAGGUCACAAGCGUUGUCCGGAAUUACUGGGUGUAAAGGGAGCGCAGGCGGGAAGACAAGUUGGAAGUGAAAUCCAUGGGCUCAACCCAUGAACUGCUUUCAAAACUGUUUUUCUUGAGUAGUGCAGAGGUAGGCGGAAUUCCCGGUGUAGCGGUGGAAUGCGUAGAUAUCGGGAGGAACACCAGUGGCGAAGGCGGCCUACUGGGCACCAACUGACGCUGAGGCUCGAAAGUGUGGGUAGCAAACAGGAUUAGAUACCCUGGUAGUCCACACCGUAAACGAUGAUUACUAGGAGUUGGAGGAUUGACCCCUUCAGUGCCGCAGUUAACACAAUAAGUAAUCCACCUGGGGAGUACGACCGCAAGGUUGAAACUCAAAGGAAUUGACGGGGGCCCGCACAAGCAGUGGAGUAUGUGGUUUAAUUCGACGCAACGCGAAGAACCUUACCAAGUCUUGACAUCCGUUGACCGCUGUAGAAAUACAGUUUUCCUUCGGGACAGCGAGACAGGUGGUGCAUGGUUGUCGUCAGCUCGUGUCGUGAGAUGUUGGGUUAAGUCCCGCAACGAGCGCAACCCUUAUGGUCAGUUACUACGCAAGAGGACUCUGGCCAGACUGCCGUUGACAAAACGGAGGAAGGUGGGGAUGACGUCAAAUCAUCAUGCCCUUUAUGACUUGGGCUACACACGUACUACAAUGGCGUUAAACAAAGAGAAGCAAGACCGCGAGGUGGAGCAAAACUCAGAAACAACGUCCCAGUUCGGACUGCAGGCUGCAACUCGCCUGCACGAAGUCGGAAUUGCUAGUAAUCGGGGAUCAGCAUGCCACGGUGAAUACGUUCCCGGGCCUUGUACACACCGCCCGUCACACCAUGAGAGCCGGGGGGACCCGAAGUCGGUAGUCUAACCGCAAGGAGGACGCCGCCGAAGGUAAAACUGGUGAUUGGGGUGAAGUCGUAACAAGGUAACCGUACUAGUACGGUGAGAG